AAACUAAUCUCUGUGUCCCUUUGCUACUGUCUCCAAGAUUCCUGAGAAACCUUCGUUCCUUGAUUCCCCUUCGAUCUCAGGUGUCUCGAAUGUGCUGGGCAAGUUCGCUGAACAUAUCUUCUCCCAUACCAAAGGAAAGGACAAGCAUUAGUUACCCAGAAUUGUGUGGCAUUGACCUUUCGUCUCCGAACGUACUCACCUGAACCCCACCGCUCACGGAGUGAUCGUCACUGAAUCUGCACCUGAUAUCACCUGCUAUUCACCUUGCACUAGGAUUGUGAAAAAUAAACUUGGUGUUGAAUUCACUUACCUCUGCCUCAUGUGCCUAUGCUGACAGGAAUGACAUGAGGAUUUUUAGUUUCUCAUUCAGAGUCUUCGGUUUAGACUCAUCCCAUCCGUGCCUGGGCUCUGUAUUUUUAGUGUCUUAUUCAGAGUCUUCGGGUAGGACUCAUCCCAUCCGUGCCUGGGCUCUGUGUAAGUUCACCAUUUUACUCUCUUCCUAUAUUUAGAUACUUUUCAGAGCUGUUUGCGCUGAGGUAAUUGGAGUAUAAUCCAUGCAAAAGCAUGAUAAUAUUAUUAUAGUGUUUUUAAUCUAAUAAUAAUAAUAAUAAUAAUAAUAAUAAUAAUACAUUUACCAUUAGCAUGAAGAGAUGCCUGUGUUUAUAAUAAAUACUUCUCAGAAAAGAUGAUUGGCUUUUCC
Molecule: long non-coding RNA, 700 nt
Organism: Cyprinus carpio (common carp)
Lineage: Eukaryota; Metazoa; Chordata; Actinopteri; Cypriniformes; Cyprinidae
Source: Ensembl